RNAcentral lists this long non-coding RNA (934 nucleotides) under Homo sapiens (human). RNAcentral describes it as "non-protein coding TTTY7:4". Lineage: Eukaryota; Metazoa; Chordata; Mammalia; Primates; Hominidae. The record is from RNAcentral.
GAAUAUGGAUGUAUCCUGUGGAUCCCUCAGAGAAGACAGGCAAGAGUCCACCACCAAGGCACCUCUAUGGAGGUCUCCUUCUUGGCCACGCAGCCAGGACUGAUCUCUAUGUAAUGGUGACAUUCAUUGUGAUGCUAGCCAGAGCUCAUAGUCAGGCCUGGUGCCCUGAGGCGUGCAUGUGCAUUUGAGGGCAUGCUUGCUGGCCUGGCUUUCACAGAUGUUAGCCUGUGGAAGCAGAAGAAAAUGGUACACAUAGAGCUGGCUCGGUAUCCAGAAAUAGGCUGCCUGCAAUAAUGCACUGCGGGACCCUACAAUGCUCGAAGUUAGGGCGACUUCAAGCCGUCUCCCUGGUCAGCUCCUGCAGGAGUAGGAGGCAUUCAGAGACUGAGGUGGUCGCUGAAAUCUGUUCUUCUGAUUCCCUUUUGGAAAGAGGCUGUGUGCAAGAAUCCAGUCCCAUGGGGAUUGGAAUGUAGUCUGGCACCCUUCAGAUCCUUUUGGAACCUUACGGAUUUCGCGGUUUAUUCCUGGGGUUUGCUUGACGUAUCUUCCAGCUGGCUCUUGUCUGCUCUCCCCUAGGAUCGUGGGACUAUCCUGUGGAUCCCACAGAGAAGAGAGAGGACAGUCCACCACUGAUGCACCUCCACAGAGGUCUCCUUCUCCGCCAAACCUCACGGAAUUGUGACAUUCAUGGCGAAUGUGCGGGACCCCAUCCAUCCCUCACCAGCUUGUAUCCUCAGCUUUAUCUGAAGUUAAAAGUAUCUUUCCCAUAAUGAAAUCCAAAGAUGAUGGAAGAGUGCCCCCUCACGGUGUGGAGGUCCUGCUUGGCUAGCAACUGAAUAUGAAGUAAAUUCAAGGGACCCUGCGGACCGGACUGCUAGUGUUUCUAAAUGGGGUGUACACUGGACAAUAAAACACUGAAAGAUUUCUGUUCCUG